GUGCCAGCAGCCGCGGUAAUACGGAGGGGGCUAGCGUUGUUCGGAAUUACUGGGCGUAAAGCGCACGUAGGCGGAUCAGAAAGUUGGGGGUGAAAUCCCGGGGCUCAACCUCGGAACUGCCUUCAAAACUAUUGGUCUUGAGUUCGAGAGAGGUGAGUGGAAUUCCGAGUGUAGAGGUGAAAUUCGUAGAUAUUCGGAGGAACACCAGUGGCGAAGGCGGCUCACUGGCUCGAUACUGACGC
Molecule: ribosomal RNA, 242 nt
Filed under: uncultured Rhodobacterales bacterium
Lineage: Bacteria; Pseudomonadati; Pseudomonadota; Alphaproteobacteria; Rhodobacterales
Description: partial 16S ribosomal RNA
Rfam family: Bacterial small subunit ribosomal RNA
Source: RNAcentral